This 542-nucleotide ribosomal RNA is filed under the name uncultured bacterium. RNAcentral's name for it is "bacterial SSU rRNA". It matches the Rfam family "Bacterial small subunit ribosomal RNA", at positions 969 to 1509 of the family's 1533-position model. The record is from RNAcentral.
CCUUACCUGGCCUUGACAUACUAAGAACUUUCCAGAGAUGGAUUGGUGCCUUCGGGAACUUAGAUACAGGUGCUGCAUGGCUGUCGUCAGCUCGUGUCGUGAGAUGUUGGGUUAAGUCCCGCAACGAGCGCAACCCUUUUCCUUAUUUGCCAGCGGGUUAAGCCGGGAACUUUUAAGGAUACUGCCAGUGACAAACUGGAGGAAGGCGGGGACGACGUCAAGUCAUCAUGGCCCUUACGGCCAGGGCUACACACGUGCUACAAUGGUCGGUACAAAGGGUUGCUACCUCGCGAGAGGAUGCUAAUCUCAAAAAGCCGAUCGUAGUCCGGAUCGCAGUCUGCAACUCGACUGCGUGAAGUCGGAAUCGCUAGUAAUCGCGGAUCAGAAUGCCGCGGUGAAUACGUUCCCGGGCCUUGUACACACCGCCCGUCACACCAUGGGAGUUUGUUGCACCAGAAGUAGGUAGUCUAACCGCAAGGAGGACGCUUACCACGGUGUGGCCGAUGACUGGGGUGAAGUCGUAACAAGGUAAGCGUAGAUGA